CGGUUGAUCCUGCCGGAGGCUACUGCUAUCGGGAUUCGAUUAAGCCAUGCGAGUCGAGAGGGUUCGGCCCUCGGCUGACGGCUCAGUAACACGUGGAUAACCUGCCCUCAGGUAGGGGAUAAUCUCGGGAAACUGAGGAUAAUACCCUAUAGACAUCCUUUGCUGGAAUGCUUGGAUGUUCAAAGGCGACGCCUGAGGAUGGGUCUGCGGCCUAUCAGGUAGUAGUGGGUGUAACGGACCCACUAGCCUACGACGGGUACGGGCCUUGAAAGAGGUAGCCCGGAGAUGGACUCUGAGACACGAGUCCAGGCCCUACGGGGCGCAGCAGGCGCGAAAACUUCGCAAUGCGGGAAACCGUGACGAGGGAAUCCCGAGUGCUCAUACAAUGUAUGGGCUUUUAUGAUGUGUAAAAAGCAUUAGGAAUAAGGGCUGGGUAAGACCGGUGCCAGCCGCCGCGGUAAUACCGGCAGCUCUAGUGGUAGCCACUUUUAUUGGGCCUAAAGCGUCCGUAGCCUGUCAAGUAAAUCCUUGGGUAAAUCGUACAGCUUAACUGUGCGGCUUCCGAGGAGACUGCUUGACUUGGGACCGGGAGAGGUUGGAGGUACUCCUGGGGUAGGGGUGAAAUCCUGUAAUCCUAGGUGGACCACCGGUGGCGAAGGCGUCCAACCAGAACGGCUCCGACGGUGAGGGACGAAGGCUAGGGGCGCAAACCGGAUUAGAUACCCGGGUAGUCCUAGCUGUAAACGCUGCAGACUUGGUGUU
RNAcentral lists this ribosomal RNA (762 nucleotides) under uncultured archaeon. RNAcentral's name for it is "bacterial SSU rRNA". It matches the Rfam family "Archaeal small subunit ribosomal RNA", at positions 5 to 775 of the family's 1478-position model. The record is from RNAcentral.